GACGAACGCUGGCGGCGUGCCUAAUACAUGCAAGUCGAACGCACUCUCGUUUAGAUUGAAGGAGCUUGCUCCUGAUUGAUAAACAUUUGAGUGAGUGGCGGACGGGUGAGUAACACGUGGGUAACCUGCCCUAAAGUGGGGGAUAACAUUUGGAAACAGAUGCUAAUACCGCAUAAAACCUAACACCGCAUGGUGUAGGGUUGAAAGAUGGUUUCGGCUAUCACUUUAGGAUGGACCCGCGGUGCAUUAGUUAGUUGGUGAGGUAAAGGCUCACCAAGACCGUGAUGCAUAGCCGACCUGAGAGGGUAAUCGGCCACACUGGGACUGAGACACGGCCCAGACUCCUACGGGAGGCAGCAGUAGGGAAUCUUCCCACAAUGGACGAAAGUCUGAUGGAGCAACGCCGCGUGAGUGAAGAAGGUUUUCGGAUCGUAAAACUCUGUUGUUGGUAGAAGAAUGUAUCUGAUAGUAACUGAUCAGGUAGUGACGGUAUCCAACCAGAAAG
RNAcentral lists this ribosomal RNA (505 nucleotides) under uncultured bacterium. RNAcentral describes it as "bacterial SSU rRNA". It matches the Rfam family "Bacterial small subunit ribosomal RNA", at positions 28 to 490 of the family's 1533-position model. The record is from RNAcentral.